GCCAGUUGCGCUCUCUGGGCCAGGGCAGUUUGUCUGGCCACAAGCAGGCGUCAGAUGGCACCUAUAGCCAGAGCAGCCGUCUGGAGCUGGACUCAACCAAGCUGGGUCUGGGUCGUGGAGGGGAGGUGACCUGUGUGGCCAUUCACAUGGGUGGCACAAGGAAGGUCAAAGUGACCCUCAACGUGAUUGGUGUCAGUGCUCCUUCUAUUGAGGACUCCAUGAUGAUGGUUGUUGUUGCUUUGGGCCUUUACGGUCUGAUAAAGGUGUUUAGUCGGACAGUCAGCCCUACAGGUACAAGCAAUGGAGACACCAAAGAUAAGAAGGAGAAUUGACCUCGAAACCAGCAAGCUGUUAUUUUGGGCAUAAAAUGCCUGUUUUGGCUGAUGCGUUCUUCAACAGCUUCUUGUUCAACAUUUUAACGAUUUUGUUUAGCCUUGUGACACCGAGUUGGGGUUUUCAAAAAAUAAACUUAUGAAUGAUUUAAUUCUGUGAAGGUAUGAUAAAGAUAAAACUAAAGAUACACAGAAUGUGCUCUACUAUUAGGAAACGCACAGCGCCCUCAAAACUCCACUGUUGGUGUAUUUUACAUUUGUAUUAAUUUUGACAACUAUUGCACUCUAAAAAUUGUGACUUCUUUUAUGGUACCAAUGGAUGUUGGUUUUUUGAAUUGAUAUAUGAUGGGCAUGUGUGUGUGUGAGUGGGAGAAGGGGAGGGCAGAUUGUAAAUAGAUUUUUUUGUGUGCUUGAAUCGUAGCCUGUGCACUUGUCAAACACUGUUGGCUUUGAUUGAAAUAAAUACAUUUGGAAGGUU
Long non-coding RNA from Clupea harengus (Atlantic herring), 810 nucleotides. The record is from Ensembl. NCBI's taxonomy places the organism in Eukaryota, Metazoa, Chordata, Actinopteri, Clupeiformes, Clupeidae.